UUAAUAUUCAGCGCUUUUUUACACGAAAAGACUGGGACUAGGUGAUUUGGGGGCGGGGCGGAGGAAGGACACAAGCCUUGCUUCCUCCGCCCCGCCCCCAAAUCACCUAGUCCCAGUCUUUUCAUGUUAAAAAGCGCUGAAUAUAAA
This is a non-coding RNA of Paramuricea clavata, 147 nucleotides long. NCBI's taxonomy places the organism in Eukaryota, Metazoa, Cnidaria, Anthozoa, Malacalcyonacea, Plexauridae. The record is from the annotation of a GenBank genome assembly.